This 405-nucleotide ribosomal RNA is filed under the name uncultured bacterium. Its description in RNAcentral is "partial 16S ribosomal RNA". It matches the Rfam family "Bacterial small subunit ribosomal RNA", at positions 28 to 526 of the family's 1533-position model. The record is from RNAcentral.
GAUGAACGCUGGCGGCGUGCCUAAUACAUGCAAGUCGAGCGGAGCGGGGACGGGGGAGUAAUACGUGGAUAACCUCCUAUAAGGCUGGGAUAACUUCGGGAAACCGGAGCUAAACCGGAUACUGAGCGAUGGAUCGGCGAUGCAUUAGCUAGUUGGUAAGGUAACGGCUUACCAAGGCUACGAUCCAUAGCCGACCUGAGAGGGUGAUCAGCCACACUGGGACUGAGACACGGUCCAGACUCCUACGGGAGGCAGCAGUAGGGAAUCUUCCGCAAUGGGCGAAAGCCUGACGGAGCAACGCCGCGUGAGUGAAGAAGGUCUUCGGGUCGUAAAACUCUGUUAUUAGGGAAGCGUUACCUAAUCAGAAAGCCACGGCUAACUACGUGCCAGCCGCCGCGGUAAUAC